RNAcentral lists this transfer RNA (68 nucleotides) under Hydrogeniiclostridium mannosilyticum. It matches the Rfam family "tRNA". From Rfam's summary of the family: Transfer RNA (tRNA) molecules are approximately 80 nucleotides in length. Their secondary structure includes four short double-helical elements and three loops (D, anti-codon, and T loops). Lineage: Bacteria; Bacillati; Bacillota; Clostridia; Eubacteriales; Acutalibacteraceae. The record is from RNAcentral.
AGGUGUAGCGCAGUUGGUAGCGCGCCUGCUUUGGGAGCAGGAUGUCGCAGGUUCGAGUCCUGUCACCU